RNAcentral lists this ribosomal RNA (234 nucleotides) under uncultured Lactobacillus sp. RNAcentral describes it as "partial 16S ribosomal RNA". It matches the Rfam family "Bacterial small subunit ribosomal RNA", at positions 128 to 354 of the family's 1533-position model. The record is from RNAcentral. Lineage: Bacteria; Bacillati; Bacillota; Bacilli; Lactobacillales; Lactobacillaceae.
GCCCAAGAGAUCGGGAUAACACCUGGAGACAGAUGCUAAUACCGGAUAACAACAGAUGAUGCCUAUCAACUGUUUAAAAGAUGGUUCUGCUAUCACUCUUGGAUGGACCUGCGGUGCAUUAGCUAGUUGGUAGGGUAACGGCCUACCAAGGCGAUGAUGCAUAGCCGAGUUGAGAGACUGAUCGGCCACAUUGGGACUGAGACACGGCCCAAACUCCUACGGGAGGCAGCAGGC